UUGGCGAACGGGUGAGUAAUACAUAGGUAACCUACCCUUAAGACGAGGAUAGCCAUUGGAAACGAUGGAUAAAACUGGAUAGGAUAUAGAGGAAGAAUCUUUUAUAUUUAAAAGAGAGAUCUGCUUAAGGAGGGGCCUGUGGCGCAUUAGCUAGUUGGUGGGGUAAGGGCCUACCAAGGCGAUGAUGCGUAGCCGGACUGAGAGGUUGAACGGCCACAAUGGAACUGAGAACGGUCCAUACUCCUACGGAAGGCAGCAG
This 259-nucleotide ribosomal RNA is filed under the name uncultured bacterium. Its description in RNAcentral is "partial 16S ribosomal RNA". It matches the Rfam family "Bacterial small subunit ribosomal RNA", at positions 95 to 354 of the family's 1533-position model. The record is from RNAcentral.